CCUACGGGUGGCAGCAGUGAGGAAUAUUGGUCAAUGGGCGUAAGCCUGAACCAGCCCAGUCGCGUGAGGGUUGAAGGUUCUAUGGAUCGUAAACCUCUUUUAUAAGGGAAUAAAGUGUGGGACGUGUCCUAUUUUGUAUGUACCUUAUGAAUAAGGAUCGGCUAACUCCGUGCCAGCAGCCGCGGUAAUACGGAGGAUCCGAGCGUUAUCCUGAUUUAUUGGGUUUAAAGGGUGCGUAGGUGGCUUUUUAAGUAAGCGGUGAAAGUCUGUGGCUCAACCAUAGAAUUGCCGUUGAAACUGGGGGGCUUGAGUAUGUUUGAGGCAGGCGGAAUGCGUGGUGUAGCGGUGAAAUGCUUAGAUAUCACGCAGAACCCCGAUUGCGAAGGCAGCCUGCCAAGCCAUGACUGACGCUGAUGCACGAAAGCGUGGGGAUCAAACAGGAUUAGAUACCCCUGUAGUC
RNAcentral lists this ribosomal RNA (460 nucleotides) under uncultured bacterium. RNAcentral describes it as "partial 16S ribosomal RNA". It matches the Rfam family "Bacterial small subunit ribosomal RNA", at positions 338 to 795 of the family's 1533-position model. The record is from RNAcentral.